RNAcentral lists this ribosomal RNA (248 nucleotides) under Providencia rettgeri. Its description in RNAcentral is "partial 23S ribosomal RNA". It matches the Rfam family "Bacterial large subunit ribosomal RNA", at positions 1 to 249 of the family's 2925-position model. The record is from RNAcentral. Lineage: Bacteria; Pseudomonadati; Pseudomonadota; Gammaproteobacteria; Enterobacterales; Morganellaceae.
GGUUAAGCGACUAAGCGUACACGGUGGAUGCCUAGGCAAUCAGAGGCGAUGAAGGACGUGCUAAUCUGCGAUAAGCGUCGGUAAGGUGAUAUGAACCGUUACAACCGACGAUUUCCGAAUGGGGAAACCCAGUGCAAUUCGUUGCACUAUCGUUUGAUGAAUACAUAGUCAAACGAAGCGAACCGGGGGAACUGAAACAUCUCAGUACCCCGAGGAAAAGAAAUCAACCGAGAUUCCCCUAGUAGCGG